Molecule: long non-coding RNA, 1307 nt
Organism: Bos taurus (domestic cattle)
Lineage: Eukaryota; Metazoa; Chordata; Mammalia; Artiodactyla; Bovidae
Source: Ensembl
GUAACAACAGCAGCACAAUACGCUCUAUACAAGAAGUAUAUCCAGGGUAUUAAAUGGGCUUAGAGGCCAGUGCAGCUCUGCCUGCGGGAGGCUGGGAAUGCUUCCAAGAGGAAGCAGCAGCUGAAGUGAGAUUUGAAAGAAGAGUUAGAGUUCAUCAGGGCAGUAGGGUGGGCCUUAGGGAACAGAGGAUAUUCCCAGCAAAAGACACAGCGUGAACAACUGUGUUGAGAAAUUGUGACGAUCCACUACAUUAAAGAAGCAGUAAAGUAACAGCUGCUGCUGCUGCUGCUGCUAAGUCACUUCAGUCAUGUCCAACUCUGUGCGACCCCAUAGACAGCAACCCACCAGGCUCCCCCAUCCCUGGGAUUCUCCAGGCAAGAACACUGGAGUGGGUUGCCGUUUCCUUCUCCAAUGCAUGAGAGGUGAUGGAUAUGAAAGGUUUUAUGAAGGAUAUUGAACUGGAUAAUUUCUACACUCACUUCCAAGACUUAACCCCUUCAGGACUUUUUCCUUCAUGAGUUCCAUAUCAAAUUGAACACAUCUUCAGUUCACCUGCUUUCUCAACACUAACAGUAUGGAUUACUUUAACACAGACUUAUUUUGCUUUCCUGUUGUCUUGGAAAUACUUGUCUGAUCUCCCCAACUAGAUAUCUUCUCAAACCAUAUCAUCUGAAGUGUCAGUGCAAGUGGUUCGUGUAGCUCUAGGAAACAGGCUGAGUUUGGCCUGUGCAUUUUGGCAUCCUGGACAAGAGGAUCAUCGAGCAGAGGAUGGAAAAGUACCUGGCAGUGCCUCCUGACUCCGACUUCCUACCGGCGACAUCCGCCUCUUGCUGACUCUGAGUCACCAGCAGCAGGCCUCCCCUCCCCUGCGGCCCAUCCGCCCGUUAGGCCGGCAGCUCUCCUCCGGUGCUGACUUCCCUUGCUUGCUCCCACACGUGUGCUCAAGGUGGAGGCAACCCUAAUGAGGAAACACAGAGGCUGCAGCAGCAUUUCCUCCUCAGCCAGCAAAGUGAGGCCUGCAGCAGCCUCCCCAGCAGGGCCUGCCUAGCCCCAUAGCCCUGCAGGUCAGGCCUCAGAUGCAGGGACUCCCACCCCUGUGUCCUGGAGUCCUCCCAGGAGAUGGGGAACUGUCUGAGCUCCAGGCUGGACUCCUAGAACCCAAAGGCACCAGAGUUGCCUCUCUGGUGAGGAGGAGCCCCUAGAAACUCCCAGGAGGCUGGUCCUGUGCAUCCCCAACUGAAGUAUAAGAAAUGAGCACCAGGAAGAAGCUCACCACAAACUCCCCUUGAAAUGACUGGUCCUUGGCC